CGUUGUUUACAAGCUGAAAUGAGCGGGACACGUGGAGGCUGUCUCUGAAUAAGACGUGUUGAAAUUGUCAAUUUUGAUUCAUAGAUAUGAGCCUGAUGACUGACGGGCCUGGAACGUACUGAGUUUGGGCGAGAAUUGUUGUGUAGCAUGAACAUCAUUCAGGGGCGAGGUGCCAUGGUGUUGAAUAAAACUGAACCUACAUGAAAACGGCUGCAUAUUAUUCUACCCAUGGUGUAAUGUGAGCCAGUCCCGGAUUGAUGCAAGUCUACUGUUACACCGACUACAUGGCAUUUAUUGGUAUGAAAUUCCAUUUUCCAUGUACAACUCCACGUGACUAAGUUCUCGAUGUUGUUGCACGUCACUUGAAGAAUGCAGAAAACUCCACGAUGAGCACCAUACUUUAUUCAGUACCUCAGUAAGAUUCAAUAUGCAAGGU
Long non-coding RNA from Penaeus vannamei (Pacific white shrimp), 436 nucleotides. RefSeq lists it as uncharacterized. The record is from RefSeq and is a predicted model, not a curated record. NCBI's taxonomy places the organism in Eukaryota, Metazoa, Arthropoda, Malacostraca, Decapoda, Penaeidae.